CCGAGUUAUACAACUCAUCAACCCUGUGAACAUACCUAAAACGUUGCUUCGGCGGGAACAGACGGCCCUGUAACAACGGGCCGCCCCCGCCAGAGGACCCCUAACUCUGUUUUUAUAAUGUUUUUUCUGAGGUAGUAGUAAACAAGCAAAUAAAAUUA
RNAcentral lists this unclassified non-coding RNA (158 nucleotides) under soil metagenome. RNAcentral describes it as "partial internal transcribed spacer 1". The record is from RNAcentral.